Molecule: ribosomal RNA, 300 nt
Filed under: uncultured Luteolibacter sp.
Lineage: Bacteria; Pseudomonadati; Verrucomicrobiota; Verrucomicrobiia; Verrucomicrobiales; Verrucomicrobiaceae
Description: bacterial SSU rRNA
Rfam family: Bacterial small subunit ribosomal RNA
Source: RNAcentral
ACGUGAGUUACAUGCCCUGCAGUGGGGGAUAGCCCGGGGAAACUCGGAUUAAUACCCCAUGGUACCGCAAGGUUAAAGAUGGCUUCGGCUAUCGCUGCAGGAUUGGCUCGCGGCCUAUCAGCUUGUUGGUGAGGUAACGGCUCACCAAGGCAACGACGGGUAGCUGGUCUGAGAGGACGAUCAGUCACACUGGAACUGAGACACGGUCCAGACACCUACGGGUGGCAGCAGUCGAGAAUCAUUCACAAUGGGGGCAACCCUGAUGGUGCAACGCCGCGUGGAGGAUGACGGUCUUCGGAU